GACGAACGCUGGCGGCGUGCUUAACACAUGCAAGUCGAACGGAAAGGCCUGCUUUCCCUUGUGGAUUGCGGGUACUCGAGUGGCGAACGGGUGAGUAACACGUGAGUGAUCUGCCCCCAACUUGGGUAUAAGCCUGGGAAACUGGGUCUAAUUCCCGAUAGGACUGCAGGGUGGUGCCUGUGGUGGAAAACGAUUUUCUAGUGGUUGGGGAUGAGCUGGCGGCCUAUCAGCUUGUUGGUGGGGUAAUGGCCUACCAAGACGGGGACGGGUAGCCGGCCUGAGAGGGUGGACGGCCGAAUUGGGACUGGGAUACGGCCCCGACGCCUACGGGAAGCAGCAGUGGGGAAUAUUGGACCAUGGGCGGAAGCCUGAUGCAGCGACGCCGCGUGGGGGGUGACGGCCUUCGGGUUGUAUACUCCUUUCGACCGCGAGGAAGCCACCUGGUUGGAAGGGUGGUGACGGUAGUGGUAGAAGAAGCACCGGCUAACUACGUG
Molecule: ribosomal RNA, 494 nt
Filed under: uncultured bacterium
Lineage: Bacteria
Description: partial 16S ribosomal RNA
Rfam family: Bacterial small subunit ribosomal RNA
Source: RNAcentral